Molecule: ribosomal RNA, 253 nt
Filed under: uncultured bacterium
Lineage: Bacteria
Description: partial 16S ribosomal RNA
Rfam family: Bacterial small subunit ribosomal RNA
Source: RNAcentral
UACGGAGGGUGCGAGCGUUGCUCGGAAUCACUGGGCGUAAAGCGCACGUAGGCGGAUCUUUAAGUCAGGGGUGAAAUCCCGGAGCUCAACUCCGGAACUGCCUUUGAUACUGGGGAUCUCGAGUCCGGGAGAGGUGAGUGGAACUGCGAGUGUAGAGGUGAAAUUCGUAGAUAUUCGCAAGAACACCAGUGGCGAAGGCGGCUCACUGGCCCGGUACUGACGCUGAGGUGCGAAAGCGUGGGGAGCAAACAGG